This 29-nucleotide small RNA is filed under the name Bombyx mori (domestic silkworm). RNAcentral's name for it is "ovarian small RNA-1546". Lineage: Eukaryota; Metazoa; Arthropoda; Insecta; Lepidoptera; Bombycidae. The record is from RNAcentral.
UGCACGGCUUGGGGUUCCCCCCGCACGGA